UAGGGAAUCUUCCACAAUGGACGCAAGUCUGAUGGAGCAACGCCGCGUGAGUGAAGAAGGUCUUCGGAUCGUAAAGCUCUGUUGUUGGUGAAGAAGGAUAGAGGCAGUAACUGGUCUUUAUUUGACGGUAAUCAACCAGAAAGUCACGGCUAACUACGUGCCAGCAGCCGCGGUAAUACGUAGGUGGCAAGCGUUGUCCGGAUUUAUUGGGCGUAAAGCGAGCGCAGGCGGAAUGAUAAGUCUGAUGUGAAAGCCCACGGCUCAACCGUGGAACUGCAUCGGAAACUGUCAUUCUUGAGUGCAGAAGAGGAGAGUGGAACUCCAUGUGUAGCGGUGGAAUGCGUAGAUAUAUGGAAGAACACCAGUGGCGAAGGCGGCUCUCUGGUCUGCAACUGACGCUGAGGCUCGAAAGCAUGGGUAGCGAACAGGAUUAGAUACCCUGGUAGUCCAUGCCGUAAACGAUGAGCGCUAGGUGUUGGGGACUUUCCGGUUCUCAGUGCCGCAGCAAACGCAUUAAGCGCUCCGCCUGGGGAGUACGACCGCAAGGUUG
This 550-nucleotide ribosomal RNA is filed under the name uncultured bacterium. Its description in RNAcentral is "partial 16S ribosomal RNA". It matches the Rfam family "Bacterial small subunit ribosomal RNA", at positions 355 to 896 of the family's 1533-position model. The record is from RNAcentral.